RNAcentral lists this ribosomal RNA (206 nucleotides) under uncultured bacterium. RNAcentral describes it as "partial 16S ribosomal RNA". It matches the Rfam family "Bacterial small subunit ribosomal RNA", at positions 568 to 774 of the family's 1533-position model. The record is from RNAcentral.
UGCGUAGGUGGCAGAUCAAGUUUGGAGUAAAAGGUAUGGGCUCAACCCGUACUGGCUCUGGAAACUGAUCAGCUAGAGAACAGAAGAGGACGGCGGAACUCCAUGUGUAGCGGUAAAAUGCGUAGAUAUAUGGAAGAACACCGGUGGCGAAGGCGGCCGUCUGGUCUGGAUUCUGACACUGAAGCACGAAAGCGUGGGAGCAAAUA